AACGCUAGCUACAGGCUUAACACAUGCAAGUCGAGGGGCAGCAUUAACGAAAGCUUGCUUUUGUUAGAUGGCGACCGGCGCACGGGUGAGUAACGCGUAUCCAACCUGCCAUAUACAGAGGGAUAGCCUUGCGAAAGUAAGAUUAAUACCUCAUGGUUUAUGUUUGCCGCAUGGUGAGUAUAAUAAAGAUUUAUCGGUAUAUGAUGGGGAUGCGUCCCAUUAGAUAGUCGGCGGGGUAACGGCCCACCGAGUCGACGAUGGGUAGGGGUUCUGAGAGGAAGGUCCCCCACAUUGGGACUGAGACACGGUCCAAACUCCUACGGGAGGCAGCAGUGAGGAAUAUUGGUCAAUGGACGAGAGUCUGAACCAGCCAAGUAGCGUGCAGGAAGACGGCCCUAUGGGUUGUAAACUGCUUUAGUAUGGGAAUAAAGUCACCCACGUGUGGGUGUUUGCAUGUACCAUAAGAAUAAGGACCGGCUAAUUCCGUGCCAGCAGCCGCGGUAAUACGGAAGGUCCGGGCGUUAUCCGGAUUUAUUGGGUUUAAAGGGAGCGUAGGCGGACUUUUAAGUCAGUUGUGAAAGUUCACGGCCCAACCGUGAAAUUGCAGUUGAAACUGGCGUCCUUGAGUACGGUUGAGGCAGGCGGAAUUCGUGGUGUAGCGAUGAAAUGCUUAGAUAUCACGAAGAACUCCGAUUG
Molecule: ribosomal RNA, 696 nt
Filed under: uncultured Bacteroides sp.
Lineage: Bacteria; Pseudomonadati; Bacteroidota; Bacteroidia; Bacteroidales; Bacteroidaceae
Description: bacterial SSU rRNA
Rfam family: Bacterial small subunit ribosomal RNA
Source: RNAcentral